Molecule: ribosomal RNA, 375 nt
Filed under: uncultured organism
Description: bacterial SSU rRNA
Rfam family: Bacterial small subunit ribosomal RNA
Source: RNAcentral
CGGGGGGAGCAAGCGUUGUUCGGAUUUACUGGGCGUAAAGGGCGCGUAGGCGGCCACCGCAAGUCGACUGUGAAAUCUCCGGGCUUAACCCGGAAAGGUCAGCCGAUACUGCGGGGCUAGAGUGCAGAAGGGGCAACUGGAAUUCUCGGUGUAGCGGUGAAAUGCGUAGAUAUCGAGAGGAACACCUGCGGCGAAGGCGGGUUGCUGGGCUGACACUGACGCUGAAGCGCGAAAGCUAGGGGAGCGAACGGGAUUAGAUACCCCGGUAGUCCUAGCCUUAAACGAUGAAUGCUUGGUGUCUGGGGUUUUAUAGUCCCCGGGUGCCGUCGCUAACGCUUUAAGCAUUCCGCCUGGGGAGUACGGUCGCAAGACUGA